AAAAAAUGUGUCAAGUUGACUCACCUGAAUCCCCCAAAUUGAACGAUGCUGUUGAGAGGAACCUGCCAAAAGAUGCUUCAAUGGGGACUGUUAGUAGCACAGAUCCUCAUGCACUACCUCCACCUCCACCUCCACCUCCACCUCCAUCUCCACCUCCACCUCCACCUCCCACACUGUCACAACCACUCCCAAUGGAGCCUGCAAGUCAGUCACAGCAGCACAAUAAAGAUGCAACACCACCAUCUAAACGGGGCCGAGGAAGGCCAAGAAGAGCAACU
This 278-nucleotide long non-coding RNA is filed under the name Durio zibethinus. RNAcentral describes it as "long non-coding RNA (DZIB_LNC001529)". Lineage: Eukaryota; Viridiplantae; Streptophyta; Magnoliopsida; Malvales; Malvaceae. The record is from RNAcentral.